RNAcentral lists this ribosomal RNA (254 nucleotides) under uncultured bacterium. Its description in RNAcentral is "partial 16S ribosomal RNA". It matches the Rfam family "Bacterial small subunit ribosomal RNA", at positions 524 to 776 of the family's 1533-position model. The record is from RNAcentral.
UACGUAGGGCGCAAGCGUUGUCCGGAAUUAUUGGGCGUAAAGAGCUCGUAGGCGGCCAGUUGCGUCUGCUGUGAAAUCCCGGGGCUCAACCCCGGGCGUGCAGUGGAUACGGGCUGGCUAGAGGCAGGCAGGGGAGAACGGAAUUCCCGGUGUAGCGGUGAAAUGCGCAGAUAUCGGGAGGAACACCGGUGGCGAAGGCGGUUCUCUGGGCCUGUACUGACGCUGAGGAGCGAAAGCGUGGGGAGCGAAACAGG